GAUGAAGAACGUAGCGAAAUGCGAUAAGUAAUGCGAAUUGCAGAAUUUCCGUGAAUCAUCGAAUCUUUGAACGCACAUUGCGCCCCUUGGUAUUCCGGGGGGCAUGCCUGUUCGAGCGUCAUUUCAACCCUCAAGCUCUGCUUGGUAUUGGGCUCCGUCCUCCUCGGACGCGCCUCAAAGACCUCGGCGGUGGCGUCUUGCCUCAAGCGUAGUAGAAACACCUCGCUUUGGAGUGCAUGGCGUCGCCCGCCGGACGAAACCUUUUGUAUUUUCUCAAAGGUUGACCUCGGAUCAGGUAGGGAUACCCGCUGAACUUAAGCAUAUCAAUAAGCGGAGGA
This 338-nucleotide unclassified non-coding RNA is filed under the name soil metagenome. RNAcentral describes it as "partial contains 5.8S ribosomal RNA, internal transcribed spacer 2, and large subunit ribosomal RNA". The stretch from base 1 to 121 matches the Rfam family "5.8S ribosomal RNA", at positions 35 to 154 of the family's 154-position model. The record is from RNAcentral.